This 1382-nucleotide long non-coding RNA is filed under the name Citrus x clementina. RNAcentral's name for it is "Citrus clementina (C. clementina) long non-coding RNA (CCLE_LNC000179)". Lineage: Eukaryota; Viridiplantae; Streptophyta; Magnoliopsida; Sapindales; Rutaceae. The record is from RNAcentral.
UUCAUUUCAAUGUUUUAUUUAUUUAUUUUUAAUUAUGAGUCAAAGUUGGGCAAGUGGGAGUAAAGGGGUGUUGGGGUGGACCGAGUCUUGUGGGAAGACUUAGUUUUUCCUUUUUCUUUGGGAUUUGAUCAAUAAGUUAGUUGCAGUUUGUAUUUGAUUAUUAUUUAUAAGCCAUGUAAUACAUGAAUAAGGAUUAUGCAAUUAUUUGAUAUUUAACUCACUUGAGUUGCUGAGGUCAAGGUUCCUCCAUUAACCUUAAAUCCUUAGUUUCAAUUCUCUACAUCAUAGGUUCCAAUAAAAAUAAAAGAUACAAUCCCCAGUACGUGCCACACACUGCCGAUGCUCGUAGCGUAAAGCCGUUCACCCCAUGCCGUUCGCUUCCAAACUAGCUCGUCUCUUGACUCUUUUCCAUUUCUGCCUAGCUUUUGAUCCACCCGAUCCAUCAACUUAUUAACAUCAAGGUCAGUAAUUAUUUGAUCUUAAGCUCUCUUGCAUGCUAAUGCCAUAUUAUAAUUCUGCCAAUUGCCAAUUUGUUAAGCUAUCAAUCAAUUAUCAAAGCAAUUACCAUUUAGUUGUAAAUAGUGCUUAUUUUUUAAGCAAAUUUCCUCCAAAUGCUUUCUUUAUUUAAGUGUAUAAUUAACUAUAAGUAGCUGUUACUAAAUGUGAGUAACCCAGGCGUGCCAAUACAAUUCAAUUGAAACCAUUUUUUUUAAUCAUGUGUUGAUUUUACAACAUUAUUAUUAUUAUUAUUAUUAUUAUUAUUAUUAGCAACAAAUGAGUCAUAACUAUGCUAUUUGUUUUAGUAUUUAUAUGUUUGUAUGAUGAACAGAAUAGUUAAUUUUGACAUUAAUUAAUUUGCAUGUAAAGAAUAAUAAACUUAAUUGUUUAAUUUAACUCGACGCCAUUAAUCAGUUACACAAUUAAGGUAUAGUCAUAGUGCAAAUAUGGUACUAGUAAUAUUGAAAAUACACAAUAUCAAGACAUAUUGAGUGAUUCUUCUAAAUGUCAAUUAAUUUCUUUUUUUUUAUCUCUUUGUAGAAUGGACUGAUUUGCUUCAUUUUCUAUCCGUUGUUGCUUGAUUCGAUUGGUGGUGGUUAAUUAUUGCUAAUUUGGAGGUGUUGUCUUGGUGUUGAUGCCUUGAUGGUGUGAGAGAUGGAUUAUUAAUGUUGUUUGUCAUGUGGAGAUGUGUUAAUGGAGAUGAAAUUAUUAAUCAUGGUUGCCAUUUUGUUUUUUAGAUUUGUGAUUUCAAUAGCUUUAUUAUACUUGACUACAUGUUUUAUGUCUUGUUAACUUUAAAAAGACUUGUUGAAAUAUUGUUAAGGAUGCUUGGUAGUUGAUAUUUGUUGUUAAGGAUGUUUCAAUUUGAGAUUUUGGGAUUUUAG